Long non-coding RNA from Ailuropoda melanoleuca (giant panda), 586 nucleotides. RefSeq lists it as uncharacterized. Lineage: Eukaryota; Metazoa; Chordata; Mammalia; Carnivora; Ursidae. The transcript has 3 exons. The record is from RefSeq and is a predicted model, not a curated record.
GGGUGCCAUGGGAGGAGGGGCAACCCCCUAAGCAAAAAGCCCCCAGUCCCUGGAGCUCGGCUGUGUGGCAGGCUAUGCUGCCAGGGCGUAGGUCUGGGGGGGUCUCCAGUAGGAAGGGCCUGCGGGGCGUCGGGAGAGCUCUGCUGCCACUUCCCGGUGGGACUUAGCUGGUCAGCCCUGCCCUCAGUUUCCCCAUCCACCCAUCCGGGCUGGAGGGAUGUUGGUGGCCUGUUCCUCAUCUCCUCUUCCUUCCCCUUGCUCCCAUCACCCACCCUCCCCUGCUGCCCCCCAGGAGCAUCCGGUGCCUGAGAAACAUCAUCCACUGGAACCUGAUCUCGGCCUUCAUCCUGCGCAAUGCCACGUGGUUUGUGGUCCAGCUCACCAUGAGCCCCGAGGUCCACCAGAGCAACGUGGCCUGGUGCAGGUUGGUAACAGCCGCCUACAACUACUUCCACGUGACCAACUUCUUCUGGAUGUUUGGGGAGGGCUGCUACCUGCACACAGCCAUCGUGCUCACCUACUCCACCGACCGGCUGCACAAGUGGAUGUUUGUCUGCAUAGGCUGGGGUGUGCCUUUCCCCAUCAU